AAUAUAGUUUUGCAUCUGUUUUUGCACCAAUAUAUUACAAGGCUUUUUGUGUCAUUUACUAUUUUAUAAAACAUGAUUCUUAAUGCCUGGAUACUUGUCUAACACUUGUAUAUAUUGUUUAUUUAGUCAUUCCUCUAUUGUGGAACAUUUAAAUUGGAUCCAAGUUUACUAUAAGUAAUACUACAAUAAAAAUAUCUAUACAUUAUUUGUGGUGUCUCUGGCUGUUGUCUUGGAGUGACACCUUAAUUAUCUUUGUGAGAAAGUCCUCAAGAAUCCUGCCAUUAAUUCAUAUACUUUCCCCCCACUGGUAUGUCCCUUUAAGUGCUCUGAAAAUACUUAAGAAACUUAGUAAUAAGAAAGAAAAUUAAUCUUCUUUUUCGAUUCUUCACUUCUAGUUCUCUGUGGCCAAUGGAUUUUUUAAAAUCCCUUUGUCUAGAGCAUCUCCCAUUUAAUAGUUUCUCUUUGACAGCAGGGAAACUGGAAGUCAGAUGUGAUAUCUAUGCAUACCAUAAAAGGAAAAGAAGGAAGCAGAUGUCUGAAUUUUGAUACAUAGAACAGAUGUCCUUUUGAUCACAUUUCCUGGGGGAUGUAGUUGUAAUCAAAGGCCAACUGGUAACAUUUUUGGUUACUAUGUUUUAAAAAAAAAUUUCCAAGCCUCACAUAGCUGACAUGGUUUAUUACCUUCAGGAACACUGUAGUACUUGCAGUGAGUUAGAAUUCAUUCAUUAUUAUGUGUGACUGGAGAGAUGUAUUGCUUAAAAGCUAUACCAGGCCCUACUUAGGAAUAAGUUACAACUGCAUUAAAUCACUCUGUUUGUGUCAAACUCGUUAAAGUUAAAUGGCAGAAUCUAGAGGGGGACUUGAUUAACAUGAGAUAAUAAAUAUUUGCAGAAUCUGAUGCCUACCAGAAGAAACUCUGACCCAGACAGGAUCAUUGCAUAAGAGGUUGGUUUUAGAAGUAGAGUUGGCUGAAAUUAAAGUCUCGAGUGACAUGAAGACAGUGUUAAAGAUAAAUCCAAACUCUUCUUUAUUGCUUGACACUUUUCCAAUCAGCAUUGACUUCAUUCCUGGCAAGCUGAUGUAACAUGAAUGAGUUAUGAAGCCAAAGAUCGCAAGAAGAGCACACUUCUUAACAGCCACUUCAGAGGUGACAGCCAGGGAAUAAGAAAUAAGGAAGAACUUUCCAGAGGAUGGAGCCACCACAAAUAAUAAUGGAAAAGAAGGUUCCUCCCAGAGAUUAGAUUUAGAGGCUAUUUAAGGAAUUUCCCCACUCCCAGUGUAGGAAGCUUCUCAAUACUCGCUAAUCAGGAUUUCCUUAUGGUUAUAUUCUAGGGACUGCUGCUUGCCUGCCUGUCUUCUCUUUUUUGAAUAGAAGGUGUCUUUGUUUGUUUGAUUUUAUUUUUUCUUCAACUUCGCUGUUCUACAAUGACAAGAGAUAGAACAGAGACAUUUUCUACCUCAACAUUGGGAGGCAGAAAAUUCACCUUUUUAUCCAAGAAUACCAAACCAGAAGCUGAAAUAUCUGGAUCUGAUAGAGAGGAUAGUCUAUUCCCCCUUGGACUUUGGACUGGAUGCAAUAAUGGUAUGAGACCCUGGGGUAGGAAUGAGUGUCUUCUAUGUGUGGGAAAGAGAGGAAAGCAGAUAUUUGGCGACCUAAAAAGAAGGCCAUGGCAGAACCUCAUUAGUUGUUCAACAAUCCUAUUUUCCUUUUCUCCUGGACACACAGCUAUGCAUUUUCCAGCCAUCCUUGUGGUUAGAUGCCCAGUGACAGUUCUGAGAAUGGAAUAUGGACAGAUGUGAUAGGCACUUCUGGGCCUGGGCCACAAAAACCUUCCACAUGAUGUCCAGUGCCUCUUUUACCCCACUGACAGUUUUUUAUUGUCAUCCAGAGAGACCUUGGAUGGUUUAGAAGCCAUGUGUAGAAGAUGGCAACCUUCCCUUAGCAUGGAUCCUUGAAUGACUGUGGAGUGCAAUGCCUUCUACCAAUUACACCUACUGUGUUUGAGAAUCAAAUUUCAUUUGUAUUAAGCUACUGAUUUGGGGGGUUUAUCUCCUUCAGCACCCACAUUAGUACAACUCAUGCAGAAUGGAGAGUUAAUGUGAACACAUAUGGCACAGACUGGUGAAACCUAGGACUUUAAGAUGAUAGAUGAAUUUCUGAUUAUACUUUCCUUUCCCGCAAAAAGUUUUUUUCAAAUUAAAUGUUGUAAUAUAAAUGUGAAUUCUUAAAUAUCUUUCUAAUGAAAUGAUGACUAACUAUAGAAAAGAGAAUGCAGGAAUAUAUACAUCCUUGAUAAGAGUGUGAAACUGUUACAGGCAAUCUAGAGGGUCUUGCCUAGGGAUAACGAACAAAAUAACAUACCUGGGUAAAAGAAAUGAGAGGUUACUGAUAAAAAACUAACAUUUAGCCGGGAGUAGUGGCUCAUGCCUGUAAUCCCAAUACUUUGGGAGGCCGAGGCAGGCAGAUCGCCUGAGGUCAGGAGUUUGAGACAAGCCUGGCCAACAUGGUGAAACCCCAUCUCUAUCAGAAAUACAAAAAUUAGCUAGGCAUGGUGGCGGGUGCCUGUAAUCCCAGCUACUUGGGAGGCUGAGGCAGGAGAAUCACUUGAACCCGGGUGGUGGAGGUUGCAGUGAGCAGAGAUUGUGCCACUCCACUCCAGCCUGGGUGACAGAGCUAGACUUCAUCUCAAAAAAAAAAAAAAUUAUAUUGCACAAUAUAAAACAUUAUUUUAUACUUAGGAUCACAUUUGAUCUUUGCAAAUCCAUAUGAAAUAGCUAUUAUUAUCAGAUACAGUUUAUGAAUAAUAAAAACAAGACUCAUAUGGGUUAGGUAACUAGGCCAUGGUCUCUCUACCAAGCUCUAUCUCUCUGAUUGAGGAGAGAGUAUCUAGAGCAUCAGUGUUCUUUUUACUGCCUUAUGCUACCUCCCAGUACAGGUAUAACAACUAAACCUACAAGUAACCUGCAAUUGAGGGUUUAGACUUUUAGCAUCUUUAACCAUCCAAAACAUAGCUGUGGGACCAAAAAGCAAAAAACAGUUUACAAAAGCCCAUAUUUAUUGCACCAAGAAAAAGCCAUGUCUGUGAAAUAUUGCUUAGAAUUUGUGUACUAAACUCAGCAUAAUGAAUUAACAAACUCAGUGACCUCAUUUUCUCCUAGAUUACAAUAAAUGGAAGACUUAAAAUGAUGAGAAAAAUAAACACAGAAAACCUCAAUUAACAGGGUAGAGGAUGACCUAUUGAAAGAUUGGGCAUUCAUGUGUGGGAGGUAAAGGCAAGUCCUGUGAGUGGUAGGCAGUCCGAGGCAAGUGUUCUCUCUUUUUGUUGUUUGAUUCUAAAUUUAUGACAACUGAAGAAAGGGCCUUGGCCUGGUCUGGAUCAACUUGGUAUGGAGCCCAUGAGAAAUGAAAGAUGAUUCAUAAACAUACCUAAUUCAUCCCAGGCAACAGCAGAAAUGACCAUGAAAAAUGAGCCAUCUGAGAAUUCUCAACGAUUCUUGGAGAAUGUCAUUAAUUACAUUUUUAUUACAGGGCAGGGAUGCCCAAGCUGACAUAUGGGUUACAAAGGCAAAGUAGAAUUUCCCUCUAUGGGUUUUGUUAAUGUAAAAUAUAAAUUAAUAAGCUUUUUGCUUUUACUAAUAUGAAACAUACCCAUCAAUUAGUUGUCUUCAAUUCAGAAAGAACUAAACUAGAGUUCGAUAGUAUCUUAAAUCCAAAAAAUAAAAAUAAAAACCCAACCAGCAGCCAUUUGCUGAAUUCCUGAGUGCUUAGGAGUCUCCAUUUCUAGUCUAGCAAAUGUCUUCCAGUUGCAAUUUUAAACAUUUUUCCCAGAUCUUUCAAGAAACCUGUAAUAGUAUCAAGUCCAGCACACAAAGCUAGCUUUCUGUAAGCAAUCAGUCUCAUCUACCCACCUUUACUUUAUACAGCCUCCUAAAUUCAACCUUAGAAUAAAAAGUACUUUUUUGUUGUUAAAAGUCUGUUCUCUAGCCAGGUGUGGUGGCUCAUGCCUGUAGUCCCAGCACUUUGGGAGGCUGAGACCAGAAGAUUGCUUGAAACCAGGAGUUUGAGAUCAGCCUGUACAAUGUAGUGAGACCACCAUGUCUUAAAAAAAAAAAAAUUAAAAACAAUAGCUGGGCAUGGUGUCACAUAUUUGUGGUCCCAGCUACUUGGGAGGCUGAGGUGGGUGGAUCACGUGAGCCCGGGAGGUUGAGGCUGCAGUGAACAAUGAUCAUGCAGUGCCCUCCAGCCUUAGUGAUAAGAGUGAGACCAUGUCUCAGAAAUUUAAAAAAAGUCUAUCCUCUGCCUCUAAGGGACUUUGUUGUUAUAAAACUACUGAAAAUUUGUAUAAAUAUAUCUUAUUAAAUAUAAACAUAUUUUAUUAAAACUAUUGAAAAUAUAUAUAAACCAGGUGUGGUGGCUCACACUUGUAAUCCUAGCACUUUGGGAGACUGAGGCAGGAGGACUGUUUGAGGCCACAAGUUCAAGACCAGCCUAAGCAACAUAGUGAGAUCCCAUCUGUACAAAAAUUUGAAAAUUAGCCAGCUUUGGCAGUGUGUGCCUGUAUUCCCAGCAACUCAGGAGGUUGAGGCAAGAGAAUCCUUUGAACCCAGGAGUUUAAGGUUACAGUGAGCUGAUUGUGAACUGUACUCCAACCUGGGCAACAGAGUGAGACCCUAUC
Molecule: long non-coding RNA, 4676 nt
Organism: Homo sapiens (human)
Lineage: Eukaryota; Metazoa; Chordata; Mammalia; Primates; Hominidae
Source: Ensembl